AGGAAAUUUUGCUCUUUUAGUAUUUGUCCAGCAGGUCUUCAAGUAUUGAAGGCCACC
RNAcentral lists this small nuclear RNA (57 nucleotides) under Astyanax mexicanus (Mexican tetra). RNAcentral describes it as "U7 small nuclear RNA (ENSAMXG00005006222.1)". It matches the Rfam family "U7 small nuclear RNA". From Rfam's summary of the family: Animal histone pre-mRNAs are spliced by a different mechanism than nuclear pre-mRNAs and self-splicing introns. Lineage: Eukaryota; Metazoa; Chordata; Actinopteri; Characiformes; Acestrorhamphidae. The record is from RNAcentral.